Molecule: ribosomal RNA, 490 nt
Filed under: uncultured bacterium
Lineage: Bacteria
Description: partial 16S ribosomal RNA
Rfam family: Bacterial small subunit ribosomal RNA
Source: RNAcentral
AGUGAACGCUGGCGGUAGGCCUAACACAUGCAAGUCGAACGGCAGCACAGUAGAGCUUGCUCGCUAGGUGGCGAGUGGCGGGCGGGUGAGGAAUACAUAGCAAUCUGCCCAGUUGUGGGGGAUAACGUAGGGAAACUUAUACUAAUACCGCAGACGACCUUCGGGUGAGAGAGGGGGAUCGCAAGACCUCUCGCGGGUGGGUGAGCGCAUGUCGGAUUAGCUAGUUAGCGGGGUAAUGGCCCACCAAGGCGACGAUCCGUAGCUGGUCUGAGAGGAUGAUCAGCCACACUGGAACUGAGACACGGUCCAGACUCCUACGGGAGGCAGCAGUGGGGAAUAUUGGACAAUGGGCGCAAGCCUGAUCCAGCCAUACCGCGUGGGUGAAGAAGGCCUUCGGGUUGUAAAGCCCUUUUGUUGGGAAAGAAAUCCUUCAGGCUAAUACCCUGGGAGGAUGACGGUACCCAAAGAAUAAGCACCGGCUAACUUCGUG